UCUCUUUCUCUUUCUUUCAGAAACGGUGAGAAAAAGAGACGUCGCCUUGUUUUUUUUCUUCAUCACCACCAGUUAGAGAUGUUAGAGAAAAAAUUGUAAACAGAGAGAUGUUAGGAAAAAAUAUGAAUAAAUUUCUGAUUAGGGUUCUCGUGUUCUUGGAUUUUUUUUUUAAAUUAGGGUUCUUUUGUUCUUUGAGUUGAUUGAAGAGCUUCCUGAUUCUGUGUAUUUAAUCUUUUUUUUUCUUUUCUGAUUUGAUUAAAUUGAUCCAAUUUAAGAUAUGGGUUUGUAUUAAUUUGUGUGUGAAUGUUUGUUUUGAAACCUGAAUUGAAUCAAUUGUUUAAUUAGGGUUUGUACGAUUCAAUUUGAGGAUUUCCCUGAAUUAGGGUUCUUGAGAUAUUUAGUUAGUCUGGAUACAAUGAAGUGGAGAGCUUCAAAAUGGGUUCCUGAAUUCUCAAAGUUCGACAGAGAAGAUAGCGUUGCUAAUUGAGUUACAGAAGAAGAAUAAGUGGAUUUGAAUGGAAGUUUCAGAGAAAGAGAGAAAUUGAACAUGGUCUUGAUGGGUUUUGUUUGAAUUCUAUGAUGAAGAUUACAGAGAAGGUGGUAGUGUUGUACAGGUUCAAACCCUAUUUUAAAUUUGCUGGUGUUUGAAUCUGCGAUGGUUGUGGAGAGAAUUCAUGGAGCUACAGAUUUUGUUGUGACUGAAGGAACUAAUAGAUGUAUGCCUGGGUUAUGUGAUCUGGUAAUUGGUGCAGGAAAUUGAAGAUUAAGAUGGAGUAUGAGAUUUUGGAUGAUGUUUAUUUGUGUUGGUUGUGAGCUGAAUAUGGAAGUGCUGAUAAUGGUUAUGUUGUGCAAACUGGUUAUGAUGAACUGUGUAGAUGGGGGUUGCAGACUCAGGUUAAUGGUAGAUGUUGGAACUGAAACAACUAAAGCAUGGAUCUGAAGCUGCAAUUGAGAUGAAUUUAGAGUUUGUCGUUGAAUAGAGAAGAAUCCGAGAGCAACAAUUGAGAUGGGAUUUCAGAGAAGAAGGAAUUGAUUUGGCUCCAGUGGUUGUGUGCUUAAAAUGCAGGAGAAUAUGUAGUGAUGGAGUUGAAGUAGUGGAUGUUGUGGGUUGCUGCUUUAGGAAUAUGUAGGUGAUUGUAUGGAGAUGUGCACAUAUCUGUAUGGAUGCUGAUAUGAGAUGAUAUUGAACCUGCAAUUCAUUGCAGUGAUGGAAGGAUGUUGUUGUAGGAGUCAGUGUUAAUGCUGGACAGAACUUGAGGAUGAGAAAGAGUAAGAGCAUGGUAUUGAUGGUAUGAAACUUGGGUUUGGUUGUCACUCUUUACAGUGGUAGUUUGAUGAACUCGGGUGAUUGAGCUGGGGGUCAUUUACAACUAAAUGUAUGUUAGGACAGGGUCUUGGCAGUGGCAGGUAUGAGUUGAAUAGUGUUACAAAGAAGCAAGUUUUGGCAGUAGUUUUGAUUCAGUUAUACGGCUAAGUAUGAUAUGUAUUUUUGAUUGAGUGUAAGAAAUAUAUUGAAUUAGUGGUAGUGGUUUUGUAAGUUACAAAGAUAAUGGAAGUGGUAGUAAUAUUGCAUGUA
Papaver somniferum (opium poppy) is the source of this 1576-nucleotide long non-coding RNA. RefSeq lists it as uncharacterized. The record is from RefSeq and is a predicted model, not a curated record. The transcript is spliced from 2 exons. NCBI's taxonomy places the organism in Eukaryota, Viridiplantae, Streptophyta, Magnoliopsida, Ranunculales, Papaveraceae.